GAACACGUGAUGAUAGGGAAAGUAGCAAAACUGUCUUACCCACCAGAGAGCCGGCUAGGGUGAAAACCGGCGGAAGACAAUUUUGGGAAAGCCACCCUUGAGCUGUGGGCUGAAACUUAGUAAGCUUUACCGUACCUGGCGUUAACAGGAUCAAGUGAGCCGUAUGGCUAAUUUAGGUGGUACCGCGGGAACAAUAAUCUCGUCCUUUUC
Molecule: non-coding RNA, 210 nt
Filed under: Sporomusa sphaeroides
Lineage: Bacteria; Bacillati; Bacillota; Negativicutes; Selenomonadales; Sporomusaceae
Also listed under: 1 other name
Description: T-box sequence
Rfam family: T-box leader
About the family: Uncharged tRNA acts as the effector for transcription antitermination of genes in the T-box leader family.
Source: RNAcentral